GGGCCAUUUUGGGGCCAUUUCCCCCCAUUUAAGGCCAUUUUGGGGUCAAUUCCCCCCAUUUAGGCCCAUUAUGGGGCCAUAUAACCCCAUUUAG
Long non-coding RNA from Coturnix japonica (Japanese quail), 94 nucleotides. The record is from Ensembl. Lineage: Eukaryota; Metazoa; Chordata; Aves; Galliformes; Phasianidae.